GAUGAAGAACGCAGCGAAAUGCGAUAAGUAAUGCGAAUUGCAGAAUUCCAGUGAGUCAUCGAAUCUUUGAACGCACAUUGCGCCUUUUGGUAUUCCGAAGGGCAUGCCUGUUCGAGCGUCAUUAUCACCCCUCAAGCCAUCGGCUUGGUGUUGGACGGUUUGGUGGAGGCCCCCUCGGGGGCUCCUGCCCCUCCCAAAGACAAUGACGGCGGCCUCGUUGGACCCCCGGUACACUGAGUUCUUCACGGGACACGUAUCGGACACAUGGGUUUACGGGACACGGUCUGCCUCCCCUCAGGGAGAAUCUUUCUAAGGUUGACCUCGGAUCAGGUAGGGAUACCCGCUGAACUUAAGCAUACAAUAAGCGGAGGA
RNAcentral lists this unclassified non-coding RNA (372 nucleotides) under soil metagenome. RNAcentral's name for it is "partial contains 5.8S ribosomal RNA, internal transcribed spacer 2, and large subunit ribosomal RNA". The stretch from base 1 to 121 matches the Rfam family "5.8S ribosomal RNA", at positions 35 to 154 of the family's 154-position model. The record is from RNAcentral.